Molecule: long non-coding RNA, 2080 nt
Organism: Brassica rapa (field mustard)
Lineage: Eukaryota; Viridiplantae; Streptophyta; Magnoliopsida; Brassicales; Brassicaceae
Source: RefSeq, a predicted model, not a curated record
ACAUGUUUGACACUAUAUUUACCAGAUACGUCAUCUAACCUAUACUAAAAGUUGGAUAUAGUCAAAGGAGAAGGUGUCCACAUAGGAUCAAAAAUUCAACCAAUGGAAAUGUUCCUUUUUACCACGUCAGACCGGCAAAAACCUAUGUACUUACGAGUUUAGAGAAAUGGGCUGCGACAUGUAUUAUAAUGAUUUUCGUUUAAAUGAAAUGGACCUUUAUUACCCAAAAUAAAUAAAAGCUUCUUUGUUGUAAUACAGUUAACAGUUUGAGUUAGCCCAUAUGGUGAAGCUUCAUCGUCGAAGUAAACGUAGGUUUUCUUCAUAGUUUCAUACAGAUCUGGAUAACACAGCUUGAUCCUUUGUCUUUUCGUAACCUGUUUAUUUCCGGCAAACUCUACAUCUCCCCAUCUUUAAUCACUUCAUCAUUAAUGGUCCUGAUUCUAUCACCUACGUAAAACCUUCUUAUAUAAACUUUAUCUCUAACGGAGCAAAUCUGCAUCUCGAAAAAACUGAUCGAUUCCUUUACCAGUUUAACCUUACAACAUUUUUCUCGAACAUGUCUCUUUCUGCUUCUCCAUUGCUCAAACUGGCGUCCAUCACCCAAGCUUUAACUGUAGUUCGCCGCCUCCACUGCUUUUGGGAUUCCCACAACAUUAUGGGAAUCGCGCUCUCUUCCUUGAUAAAAAGGUAAAGACAUUUUCAAUCUAUCACACUUAUCUUAUAGAAAUGUCUUUAAUUGAUUGUUUGAUUCUUGAUUGAAAUAUAUUAUCUGUUUGAUUUUGCAGAAUUCCGUGAUCCGUCCUCUCAUACACGGUAUUUGAGAUUUUCUUCCGUCAAACCUUAGAUCACUCCUUGAAAGUGUCUUCGUCCUCUGUAAUUGCUGCUCCUCACACCGGCCACCGAAUCUUACUUUUAGCCGAGCAUUGCUACCAUCAAAGCUUUCACAACCAGGUACUACACCAGUCUCACUUUUAAAAACUGCCAAAAAAAUUAAGUAAUAGUUUAUAUCAAAUGCUUCCUUGCUAAAUCUUAUUAAACAGAUGCUUUGGUAACCAUUUGUAGGGAAUUUAACAUCAUAUAAAUAGAUUUCUACUGUUUACAGCUUGAGAGGUGCGGCAACAGAGCUUUUUCCAUGUGUACAGACAAUGGUAGAGAUUCAAAAGAAAGAACUUGUGACAUACCCAAUUCAAAAUGAGAGCCAUUCCUCUCCAAGUAAACCGACCAGGUAACUUUGACUAUAUUAUGAUUUUUAAAUUUUAACAUAUAUUGUGUCAUUUAAUCGCCUUAUUUGAUGUCUUCUCAAUGGCCUUUGUGAAGAUCCAGUGAGCCGGCUUCCUGUGCAGAGCUCGGAUCGUCAGUGUGCUGCAGAAAAAUGGAUGGUCUAUCUUUCUUGCACUAUUUGCAGCAGUUGGACAAAUCACAGACUUUGCCCUGGUUCAACAAAUGUGUGACACCAAACAUGUGUUAUCAGAUUCUGAUAAGUCAGCUAUAACAAUAUCCACCUUUGCCUAACAGAUCCAACUUAGCACAUGGUAACAUGUUGAGCUAGCUGGUGAAGAUGGUGAAGACAGUGCUACGUUUGUCGUGUUUGACACAAAGAUGACGUAACUCACCAAGAUAGAUGCAGCCUCACUGGCUCUUGAGGAGGGUUCGCUUCCACUAACACACUCCAUUUAUCUGACGUUUCUGUCGCUAUUGUCGUUAGCAAACAAAGUCUCAAAUGACACCUCACCUUCACGGUGUCUGCAAUUAGUGAAGACGUGGCUAUGUAGACUCAUUCAAGGUUUCAGUUUGAAGCAUCAACACAGUCCUACAAGCGGCAAGCCAGAUUGACAACGAGAAAGCUACUUAUGGCAUCCAACCGUGAGUGAAUCUUGGAAGUGUAUCAAGCCAUCAUUCUCACCAAGUUUUCUUCUCAUGCAUUACAAACUCUAUCCAAUAAGUAUUUCCCUUUGUUUCAGUUUCUCAUGUUUGGUUUAUAAAAAUUUCUACAACCAAGUUCAUACUGAGAAAAAAGAAGUUCAUACUGUGAGCGUGUUAUUUUCAUUUUAAUUAAGGGAAGCUAGGUAGCUAUUUACUU